UACGGAGGGUGCGAGCGUUGUCCGGAAUCACUGGGCGUAAAGGGCGCGUAGGCGGCCUGAUAAGUAGGGGGUGAAAUCCUGCGGCUUAACCGCAGGGCUGCCUUCUAAACUGUCAGGCUUGAGCACAGUAGAGGCAGGUGGAAUUCCCGGUGUAGCGGUGAAAUGCGCAGAUAUCGGGAAGAACACCCGUGGCGAAGGCGGCUCUCUGGGACGGUACUGACGCUGAGACGCGAAAGCGUGGGGAGCGAACAGG
This 253-nucleotide ribosomal RNA is filed under the name uncultured bacterium. Its description in RNAcentral is "partial 16S ribosomal RNA". It matches the Rfam family "Bacterial small subunit ribosomal RNA", at positions 524 to 776 of the family's 1533-position model. The record is from RNAcentral.